GAUGAACGCUGGCGGCGUGCCUAAUACAUGCAAGUCGAGCGAACGGACGAGAAGCUUGCUUCUCUGAUGUUAGCGGCGGACGGGUGAGUAACACGUGGAUAACCUACCUAUAAGACUGGGAUAACUUCGGGAAACCGGAGCUAAUACCGGAUAAUAUUUUGAACCGCAUGGUUCAAAAGUAAAAGACGGUCUUGCUGUCACUUAUAGAUGGAUCCGCGCUGCAUUAGCUAGUUGGUAAGGUAACGGCUUACCAAGGCAACGAUGCAUAGCCGACCUGAGAGGGUGAUCGGCCACACUGGAACUGAGACACGGUCCAGACUCCUACGGGAGGCAGCAGUAGGGAAUCCUCCGCAAUGGGCGAAAGCCUGACGGAGCAACGCCGCGUGAGUGAUGAAGGUCUUCGGAUCGUAAAACUCUGUUAUUAGGGAAGAAUAUAUGUGUAAGUAACUGUGCACAUCUUGACGGUACCUAAUCAGAAAGCCACGGCUAACUACGUGCCAGCAGCCGCGGUAAUACGUAGGUGGCAAGCGUUAUCCGGAAUUAUUGGGCGUAAAGCGCGCGUAGGCGGUUUUUUAAGUCUGAUGUGAAAGCCCACGGCUCAACCGUGGAGGGUCAUUGGAAACUGGAAAACUUGAGUGCAGAAGAGGAAAGUGGAAUUCCAUGUGUAGCGGUGAAAUGCGCAGAGAUAUGGAGGAACACCAGUGGCGAAGGCGACUUUCUGGUCUGUAACUGACGCUGAUGUGCGAAAGCGUGGGGAUCAAACAGGAUUAGAUACCCUGGUAGUCCACGCCGUAAACGAUGAGUGCUAAGUGUUAGGGGGUUUCCGCCCCUUAGUGCUGCAGCUAACGCAUUAAGCACUCCGCCUGGGGAGUACGACCGCAAGGUUGAAACUCAAAGGAAUUGACGGGGACCCGCACAAGCGGUGGAGCAUGUGGUUUAAUUCGAAGCAACGCGAAGAACCUUACCAAAUCUUGACAUCCUUUGACAACUCUAGAGAUAGAGCCUUCCCCUUCGGGGGACAAAGUGACAGGUGGUGCAUGGUUGUCGUCAGCUCGUGUCGUGAGAUGUUGGGUUAAGUCCCGCAACGAGCGCAACCCUUAAGCUUAGUUGCCAUCAUUAAGUUGGGCACUCUAAGUUGACUGCCGGUGACAAACCGGAGGAAGGUGGGGAUGACGUCAAAUCAUCAUGCCCCUUAUGAUUUGGGCUACACACGUGCUACAAUGGACAAUACAAAGGGCAGCGAAACCGCGAGGUCAAGCAAAUCCCAUAAAGUUGGUCUCAGUUCGGAUUGUAGUCUGCAACUCGACUACAUGAAGCUGGAAUCGCUAGUAAUCGUAGAUCAGCAUGCUACGGUGAAUACGUUCCCGGGUCU
RNAcentral lists this ribosomal RNA (1372 nucleotides) under uncultured bacterium. Its description in RNAcentral is "bacterial SSU rRNA". It matches the Rfam family "Bacterial small subunit ribosomal RNA", at positions 28 to 1381 of the family's 1533-position model. The record is from RNAcentral.